This 290-nucleotide small nuclear RNA is filed under the name Echinops telfairi (small Madagascar hedgehog). RNAcentral's name for it is "7SK RNA (ENSETEG00000021984.1)". It matches the Rfam family "7SK RNA". Rfam says of the family: 7SK was discovered as an abundant small nuclear RNA in the mid-70s but a possible function has only recently been suggested. Two independent studies have found that 7SK RNA binds the CDK9/cyclin T complex (known as elongation factor P-TEFb). The record is from RNAcentral. Lineage: Eukaryota; Metazoa; Chordata; Mammalia; Afrosoricida; Tenrecidae.
GGAUGUGAGGGCGAUCUGGCUGCAACAUGUCACCUCAUUGAUCGCCAGGGUUGAUUCGGCUGAUCUGCCUGGCUAGGCGGGUGUCCCCUUCCUCCCUCACUGCUCCAUGUGCAUCCUUCCCUAAGCGGUGUGCUCGGUUGAAGAGGAUGACCUUCCCUGAUAGAAGGAGGACCGUCCUUCAGUCAGGGGUAUAUGAGAAGCUGCGUUCCCCUGCUAGAACCUCCAAACAAGUCUCAAAAAAGGAUGAACUGUCAUUUCUCUGAGGAAUUAACCACUGAAAAAUUAUGAAU